CACUCACAUCCUCAAUAGCAACUUCCCUUCGUGCUGUUGCGAGAUCCAAUUUAUUUCCCGCUACAACUAUAGGUACUUCCUGUCACAAAGGAGUAAAACAAAAAUCAAAGGAUUGUAUACUCUAUCAUUUGAAAUGCAGUUAUGGUAUUAUAUACGCAUAUUUAUCGCUCUAAUACCUGAAAAUCCGGCCUUUGUUCUCGGACUUCCUCAAAACAUCGUUUGACGCAUUCGAAACUUGGUAGUGAAGUGGUGGCAUAAACCAAAAGGAAGGCAUGAGCUGUCGCUAUGCUCAGCCUUCUCAUGGCCGGAAAUUGUGCUGGAUCAAUCUGAUGUGCAACCAGCUAUUUAUAAGUGGCUUACCAAUUGAAGUGUAAAAGCGAUGAAAGUGACACAAGUGAUUAAGCACAUUUUGCCAUUACUGAAAUAAGGAACAAAAAAAAAGUAAGAAAAGAUUCUUCAACGACUAAAAGCGGCCAUUUCUUUGACAAGCGAAAAGCAGA
This is a long non-coding RNA of Leptopilina boulardi, 500 nucleotides long. RefSeq lists it as uncharacterized. The record is from RefSeq and is a predicted model, not a curated record. NCBI's taxonomy places the organism in Eukaryota, Metazoa, Arthropoda, Insecta, Hymenoptera, Figitidae. The transcript is spliced from 3 exons.